RNAcentral lists this transfer RNA (72 nucleotides) under Candidatus Sungbacteria bacterium RIFCSPHIGHO2_01_FULL_54_26. Its description in RNAcentral is "tRNA-Arg". It matches the Rfam family "tRNA". From Rfam's summary of the family: Transfer RNA (tRNA) molecules are approximately 80 nucleotides in length. Lineage: Bacteria; Candidatus Sungiibacteriota. RNAcentral also lists the same sequence under 4 other names. The record is from RNAcentral.
GUCCUUGUAGUUCAAUGGAUAGAAUACAGCCCUCCGAAGGCUGGGAUGGCAGUUCGAAUCUGCCCAAGGGCA